AGUGACGUAUCCUCCGAAUCCUUUCGGCUUCCCUUUGUUCCUCAAGGAACCAGUACACCUCGUGGUCCUGCUCCUGUUGCAAGCUGGGGAGAGCCAGAACACAGAACCUACAUUGAUUCUAGAAC
Molecule: non-coding RNA, 125 nt
Organism: Lonchura striata (white-rumped munia)
Lineage: Eukaryota; Metazoa; Chordata; Aves; Passeriformes; Estrildidae
Source: RefSeq, a predicted model, not a curated record